RNAcentral lists this unclassified non-coding RNA (379 nucleotides) under uncultured Gammaproteobacteria bacterium. RNAcentral's name for it is "contains 16S-23S intergenic spacer region". Lineage: Bacteria; Pseudomonadati; Pseudomonadota; Gammaproteobacteria. The record is from RNAcentral.
UCCGGUUUGUCACCGGCAGUCUCAUUAGAGUGCCCAACUAAAUGUAGCAACUAAUGACAAGGGUUGCGCUCGUUGCGGGACUUAACCCAACAUCUCACGACACGAGCUGACGACAGCCAUGCAGCACCUGUGUUCCCGCCAGCCGAACUGAAGGACCUCAUCUCUGAAGUCAAUACGGGACAUGUCAAGGGAUGGUAAGGUUCUGCGCGUUGCUUCGAAUUGAACCACAUAAUCCACCGCUUGUGCGGGUCCCCGUCAAUUCCUUUGAGUUUUAACCUUGCGGCCGUACUCCCCAGGCGGUCGACUUCACGCGUUAGCUUCGUUACUGAGAGUGUCAAACCCCCAACAACCAGUCGACAUCGUUUAGGGCGUGGACUAC